AAAGGUAAAGUAUAUAACAAUACGUUUCAGUUACAUUGAAAAAAUUCAAACAUAAUUUGGUGCCUUAA
RNAcentral lists this transfer RNA (68 nucleotides) under Phyllidia elegans. RNAcentral describes it as "tRNA-Val". The record is from RNAcentral. Lineage: Eukaryota; Metazoa; Mollusca; Gastropoda; Nudibranchia; Phyllidiidae.